GGUCUUAUGGCCCAAUGGUCAAGGCAUCUGACUACGAUUCAAUCAACUAAGGUUGUUCGGAUCUGUUAUCAGGGGAUUGCAGGUUCGAAUCCUGCUAAGAUCG
This is a transfer RNA of Tilletiaria anomala, 103 nucleotides long. It matches the Rfam family "tRNA". From Rfam's summary of the family: Transfer RNA (tRNA) molecules are approximately 80 nucleotides in length. Their secondary structure includes four short double-helical elements and three loops (D, anti-codon, and T loops). The record is from Rfam. NCBI's taxonomy places the organism in Eukaryota, Fungi, Basidiomycota, Exobasidiomycetes, Georgefischeriales, Tilletiariaceae.